UUAAAUCAGUUAUCGUUUAUUUGAUAGUACCUUACUACUUGGAUAACCGUGGUAAUUCUAGAGCUAAUACAUGCUAAAAAUCCCGACUUCGGAAGGGAUGUAUUUAUUAGAUUAAAAACCAAUGCCCUUCGGGGCUCACUGGUGAUUCAUGAUAACUUCUCGAAUCGCAUGGCCUUGCGCCGGCGAUGGUUCAUUCAAAUUUCUGCCCUAUCAACUUUCGACGGCUGGGUCUUGGCCAGCCAUGGUGACAACGGGUAACGGAGGGUUAGGGCUCGACCCCGGAGAAGGAGCCUGAGAGACGGCUACUACAUCCAAGGAAGGCAGCAGGCGCGCAAAUUACCCAAUCCCGACACGGGGAGGUAGUGACGAUAAAUACUGAUACAGGGCUCUUUUGGGUCUUGUAAUUGGAAUGAGUACAAUUUAAAUCCCUUAACGAGGAACAAUUGGAGGGCAAGUCUGGUGCCAGCAGCCGCGGUAAUUCCAGCUCCAAUAGCGUAUAUUAAAGUUGUUGCAGUUAAAAAGCUCGUAGUUGAACCUUGGGCCUGGCUGGCCGGUCCGCCUCACCGCGUGCACUGGUCCGGCCGGGCCUUUCCCUCUGGGGAGCCGCAUGCCCUUCACUGGGCGUGUCGGGGAACCAGGACUUUUACUUUGAAAAAAUUAGAGUGUUCAAAGCAGGCCUAUGCUCGAAUACAUUAGCAUGGAAUAAUAAAAUAGGACGUGCGGUUCUAUUUUGUUGGUUUCUAGGACCGCCGUAAUGAUUAAUAGGGACAGUCGGGGGCAUCAGUAUUCAAUUGUCAGAGGUGAAAUUCUUGGAUUUAUUGAAGACUAACUACUGCGAAAGCAUUUGCCAAGGAUGUUUUCAUUAAUCAGGAACGAAAGUUAGGGGAUCGAAGACGAUCAGAUACCGUCGUAGUCUUAACCAUAAACUAUGCCGACUAGGGAUCGGACGAUGUUAUUUUUUGACUCGUUCGGCACCUUAC
This 980-nucleotide ribosomal RNA is filed under the name Cancellidium sp. RNAcentral's name for it is "SSU rRNA". It matches the Rfam family "Eukaryotic small subunit ribosomal RNA", at positions 101 to 1091 of the family's 1831-position model. Lineage: Eukaryota; Fungi; Ascomycota; Sordariomycetes; Cancellidiaceae. The record is from RNAcentral.